RNAcentral lists this ribosomal RNA (460 nucleotides) under uncultured bacterium. RNAcentral's name for it is "partial 16S ribosomal RNA". It matches the Rfam family "Bacterial small subunit ribosomal RNA", at positions 338 to 795 of the family's 1533-position model. The record is from RNAcentral.
CCUACGGGAGGCAGCAGUGAGGAAUAUUGGUCAAUGGACGAGAGUCUGAACCAGCCAAGUAGCGUGAAGGAUGACUGCCCUAUGGGUUGUAAACUUCUUUUAUAAAGGAAUAAAACGAGGCACGUGUGCCUUUUUGCAUGUACUUUAUGAAUAAGGAUCGGCUAACUCCGUGCAAGCAGCCGCGGUAAUACGGAGGAUCCGAGCGUUAUCCGGAUUUAUUGGGUUUAAAGGGAGCGUAGAUGGGUUGUUAAGUCAGUUGUUAAAGUUUGCGGCUCAACCGUAAAAUUGCAAUUGAUACUGGCAGUCUUGAGUACAGUUGAGGUAGGCGGAAUUCGUGGUGUAGCGGUGAAAUGCUUAGAUAUCACGAAGAACCCCGAUUGCGAAGGCAGCUUACUAAACUGUGACUGACAUUGAUGCUCGAAAGUGUGGGUAUCAAACAGGAUUAGAUACCCCAGUAGUC